CGGCCCAUCUGGCCAUCCGGUUAGCAAGACCAACAAAUGCACACUGAUACGUUCCCUUCGAACCCACCUCCCAUGGCCACCGUCGACUGCCCCCUGCCCUCUCCCGCGGACCUCGACGACAACGGAUUCCCGGCUCUACCCUCCUCCCCCGCUGCCUGUAGCAGCGGCUUCGCGGAGGACUUCUACCGCAGCGGCACCGACUGGUCCUCCUUACGCGCCCCUCCGCCGCUGGGGCCGCCCAGAAGGGCACCCGGUGUGAAGGAGAGAGGAGGCGGCUCGGCCGUGCAGAGCAGCCUCUUCCAGGCGUGGGGGAUCGAGAAGCCGCGGCGGGACGGGCGUGGGGCUGGGGAUUCAUCGCUUGUGCAGAGGAGCCUCUUCCAGGCAUGGGGGAUCGAGAGACCGCAGAGGGAGGGUCUCGGGGCUGGAGAUUCCUCCCCCUCCUCCUCCCUUUCCGGUUCUUUGUUGGCAAGGAAGCGGAGGCGAGGAAGCACCGAGGAGGAGCGGGUGGCGGCCAAGAAGCCCCUCGCGUGCCCCUUCUACAAGAAGAUUCCUGGCACACCAUUCACGGUGGAUGCAUUUCGGUAUGGACAAGUUGAGGGGUGCUCGGCCUAUUUCCUUAGCCACUUUCAUCAUGACCAUUACGGUGGAUUAACCAAGAAAUGGUGCCAUGGCCCCAUCUAUUGUUCUGCACUCACUGCACGCCUAGUGAAGAUGUGCUUGUCAGUAAAUUCCGACUAUAUCUGUCCUUUGGAGCUUGAUACCGAGUAUGUCAUAGAGGGAGUGACAGUUACCUUGCUGGAGGCCAACCAUUGCCCUGGUGCAGCUCUAAUCCACUUCCGACUAAGUGAUGGAAAGACCUGUCUCCACACUGGGGAUUUUAGAGCAUCAAAAACUAUGCAAUCGCAUCCACUUCUCCAGAGAGGCCGAGUAAAUUUGGUUUACCUGGACACAACAUAUUGCAAUCCCAAGUACAAGUUCCCACCCCAGGAGGAUGUUAUUGAUUUUGUUGUGAGAACCACUCGAAGAUAUCUAAAGAAACAACCAAAAACCCUCAUUGUUGUUGGGGCAUAUAGCAUUGGGAAAGAGAAUGUGUAUCUAGCAAUUUCCCAAGCUUUAGAGGCCCAUAUAUACACUGAUGCAUCGAGAAGGCGGAUUCUCUACUCAUUUGGCUGGCCAGAUUUGUCCAAAAGGCUAUGUUCAUGCAAUCAAAGUUCAUCACUUCAUGUUCUGCCCCUUGGAUCUAUAAAUCAUGAGAACUUGAAGAAGUACUUGGAGACUCUUAAUGGAAGAUUCCUAGCUGUGCUGGCUUUUCGGCCUACAGGUGUGCCUUAUAGCGAGCAUUCAAGUUUCACUGAGCUUAGGGAUUUUGUGAUGUUUCUGAAACCUCAAAAGAUAAUUCCUACUGUUAAUGUUGGCAAUGCCACAAGCCGAGAUAAAAUGCAAGCACAUUUCCGGGAAUGGCUGAAGAGCCCGUGAUAAAUAUAUCCUGAUCAUGUUUUUUUUUCUAUAUCGGCGUCAACUCGACUCCACUCAAUGAGGUACCGCUGUAUACCAUCCUUACACUCACAGUUCACUAUAACGCCUCUUUUCUUCACUUUAUUUGUUGGAGUUCAACGAAUGUUGAUUCUUUUAUGCCAGUGACACAGUCAUGGUACGGAAAAGAAGUGGAUAUAUUUUUAAAGGUUGGUUUGCUUGGUACUAAAAAUGCUAUGUUUAGAGUACCACUUUUCCCAACAUUAUUCCGAGAUUCGUUUUGUGGAACUUAUCUCAUUUGAGAGGUAAAUGUGUUGUUUCUCGCUUGUCUGGCAUUUCUUUGCAAGGGAACUGUAAGAUGAAGAAAUAUUGAUUUGAAUUACUGUUUAUCAAAACCCAUUAUCAGCAACACAUUUGUUGUCUCCCCAUGUUCAAUCGAAAUACAAGAUUUCACUGGCUAGAGCAGUGGGAUUUCCUAGUUGCGAUUGGGAGUCGGUAUGCUGCCUUCAGAAAUAUGUGGAAGAAAGUGGUACACGACCCAGCUUCUGAAUUCUAAUUAGACGAUAAGGUCUAUAGCCUAACACCUGCUGGGCUGCUAGUGUCACAGCUUCUAUUGGCAACAUAAGCACAAAUUUCGGCUACUGUAACGAUUAAACUAUUUGCUCUUAUUCAUCCCAAAUGAUUUUUCUACAAGGUGGUAGAGUCAUGAAAUGACGAAUGGUAAAUAGUGCAUAUGUUGGGUGAGAUUUCCGCUGCUCACAAGAAUAAGCUUAAUGCUAUUGCAUUACCAUCAUAGUUAUGGGCAAUCAUCUAAAUAUUACCAUCAUUAUCUAAAAAAAUCUAAAUAUUACCAUAGCCUGCUAAGCCUAGAAAAUAUUUGGUUAGUCCCACAUCUAAGUAUCCUCAAAAUGCCUUGCUGUUGCUGAUCAACAGGAACCAUGUUAAACCUUCCAUACCUCGGUACUGUACUAGGUCUCAUGCAGUAGCCCAUGGUGGAUUUGUAUGCACGUGUCUGAUCAUUGGCGUUAUUUGGCAGUCUCCAUGCCAGUACUACCUUCGUGAUGUUAGCUCACAUACAUGUAUGGGAUGGAUAGCUUGAUCUGCUCCCAUUGUAGGGGGCGAUGCUAAAGGUAAAACACAAUCGAUAGCUUGAUCUACUCGCUGAUGAAAUUCACGUGGGCUAGGUGGAUCAAACACAAUCGGCUGAUUAAGGGAGGACGACGAUAGAAGAAUUUAGUGGAUGCGCGAUGACGAUGAUGCAAACGUUCAGACAGGGGAUCGGGAAUUUUCUGUUGUAGCAUUCGUGCAAACCGUCGUGAAUCCAGUCAAUACAGCACGUGUACAAAUAUCAAAGCUGCAGGUUUCACUGUGCA
Zea mays is the source of this 2846-nucleotide RNA transcript. RefSeq lists it as uncharacterized. The transcript is spliced from 9 exons. Lineage: Eukaryota; Viridiplantae; Streptophyta; Magnoliopsida; Poales; Poaceae. The record is from RefSeq and is marked validated.